UGUUUUUUGCCCUCUUUGAGGCCUAUACUAUGAAGCAAGAUUUGGCGUUAAUGAGGUAACUUCAGGUUCAACCCAGGGUUUUGUGUAUCACGACGGUGGAUCACUUGUUACCAGGUUAAAUCGCCCUGGUAAUUUAUGCUGAACAGCUAACCCGCUCGGAAGCAGGUUAU
Etheostoma cragini (Arkansas darter) is the source of this 170-nucleotide long non-coding RNA. RefSeq lists it as uncharacterized. The record is from RefSeq and is a predicted model, not a curated record. The transcript has 3 exons. NCBI's taxonomy places the organism in Eukaryota, Metazoa, Chordata, Actinopteri, Perciformes, Percidae.